UGCGUAGGCGGUUGUUUAAGUUUGGUGUGAAAUCUCCCGGCUUAACUGGGAGGGUGCGCCGAAUACUGAAUGACUCGAGUGCGGGAGAGGAAAGUGGAAUUCCUGGUGUAGCGGUGAAAUGCGUAGAUAUCGGGAGGAACACCGGUGGUGUAGACGGCUUUCUGGACCGUAACUGACGCUGAGACACGAAAGCGUGGGUAGCAAACAGGAUUAGAUACCCUGGUAGUCCACGCCCUAAACGAUGCAUAUUUGGUGUGGGCAGUUCAUUCUGUCCGUGCCGGAGCUAACGCGUUAAAUAUGCCGCCUGGGGAGUACAGUCGCAAGGCUGAA
RNAcentral lists this ribosomal RNA (330 nucleotides) under uncultured bacterium. RNAcentral's name for it is "bacterial SSU rRNA". It matches the Rfam family "Bacterial small subunit ribosomal RNA", at positions 568 to 898 of the family's 1533-position model. The record is from RNAcentral.